AACUGAUAUCCAUCACUUCACCAAGAUUCAAAUAUCCAUCGCUUUGCAUUUUAUAGCAAUCAAGCGUUGACCUAAACCGUUUUUCGUGUGCCAACAUAAAAGCAAUCAAAACAAUUGGCAUUGAUGCACCAUUGUUUAAGUUUGUUCACUACAAAAGGUUCUGAAUUAUCACAUGUCCAAGGCAUACACACUUUCGAAUAGGAUUGAGUUGCAAGGUGAAAAUCACUAGUCCUACUCAGGUCUUUUCGCCACUCCGCAUCGACAUCAAGUACCACAACUCGAUGUUCGUUGAACUACAAAAAAAGAGUAAGAAAGUUAGCACCAUGUAUCCAACUGAGAAUUGUAACAAUUACAUGAACACAUGAUCACUAUAGCUUAGAUUUUUAAUAACAAUCAGCAGAACUUGUUGAGAAAAAAGAUAAGAGCCAGAAUACUAACUUCUGUUUCAGGUUAUAGUGUCAUACAUUUCAGUAAUAAUUACUAAAUAACUUAAGACGGAAGAAUGGAAGAUGAUAAGCAAUAUAUCUUUAUUGUGAAGCUUCCCGCCAAUAUAUAAUUUCAAAAUUAGUAAAAAUGGGGACAAAAAAAAUGUAUGAGGGGAAAAGUAAGGACAAAACAAACAUGGAUUUUUUAGUGCGGAGAAGUAAAGGACUCUAUCUAUAAAAGGACGUAAGGCAGCCAAACAAACAAUUCACAAACAAUGUAUUCUCCGGCAGUGUCGUAAGUGUUAAUGAAUGCAUAGCAGAACUUCUGCAACAAAUAUAAAAAAAUUGUUAUUGUUCUUCAGAAGAAGACCCUAACCAACAGUAAGCAUCACUUCUAAAAAUAUAGUACUAAGGAAGAUUCAAACCUGGAGCUAGCACAAGCACGAUGGAAGUACCAAAUUACUAAUAGAUAUAUGGCACGUGCCCACACUCCACUGCUGUUACAAGUUACUUCCCUGAUAAGUGAAUCUGUAACUAGCUAGUUGAUACUUGGCAGUACUUUCUCUUGCUUAAGCAAGACCCUGCAGUUAUUUGCAAGAAAGGAAAAUUAACAUCGGUGUAGAACUUUUGCUGUUACUAAUUGGCACUUUGUAAGCUGGCAGUGCUAUAUCCAUGCGUUGUGUUUCUUGCUUAAUCAAGGUCUGUGAGUCAAUGCCAUCUAACUAGACAGCCAGAAGGAAUAACAUCACCAACCAGGCAACCGCAUCUCUUGCUGACUAGUCAAUCAAUUUAUACCAACAGAUAAAUUUAAGCUUCUUCACAUCACAUCUUAUGAUUGUGUGACAAAACUAAGGAGAAGGCAUCCAGGGAUGACUUUCACAUACCUUUCUUCAUCAGAUGAAAUCUUUUCAAUGACCAACGAACCAAAAGGCACUUAGCCACUGAACACAACGCCGCCGCCACCGCCUAGCGUUUUCGGAUAAAGCAAAUCAUUUGCUAAUGUCAGAGGCUCAGGGCACCUGCAUUUGGCACACAAUCGAAUACUUAUCAGUUCAGGACACAAAAGUUUGCGUGAAAAUGCACGAAAACACAGACUGUAGGAAAGGCAACACACAUCUGCACCACGGAAACACAAAAACAACACC
This 1570-nucleotide long non-coding RNA is filed under the name Triticum aestivum (bread wheat). RNAcentral's name for it is "long non-coding RNA (TAES_LNC010751)". Lineage: Eukaryota; Viridiplantae; Streptophyta; Magnoliopsida; Poales; Poaceae. The record is from RNAcentral.